Molecule: non-coding RNA, 20 nt
Filed under: Arabidopsis thaliana (thale cress)
Lineage: Eukaryota; Viridiplantae; Streptophyta; Magnoliopsida; Brassicales; Brassicaceae
Source: RNAcentral
GAAGGAAGUCAGAGUAGUGA